UUUUUUUUUUUUUGGGUCCUGGAAUUUUUUAGAACCUUUUAUUGGUUAAUUUUAACCUUGGAACUGAAGAUGAGGGCUCAAAAGUAAUUGCUGGUUCAACAAUGGCUGCUUUAGGAAAUUGUAUUGAUAAGCAACAUCAGUUUGGCUGGUGCUGUUACUGAAACUGCAAGAAUUGAUGAAUUUCUUUGAUGGGUGAGGAUGCAUAUCCUCAUCAAUGCUAGGAAGUGGGCGCUUGAGCUUGUUUUCCAUGUUAGGUAUUGGAGUACUCAACUGAGGUAAUUUUUGAAUGAAGUAACUGCUACUACUGCUGCUAUUGGUAAUAGGGUUGCAGUUGUUGACGAAAGUUUGGUCAGGUAUUGCACCAUUGAGUACUAAUGAUGGGGUUGAAUCAUACCCAGUUGGAUUGAACUGGUUAUCUGAUAAGAAACUCCUCAGUAUAGAGUAGUCCGUGGCGUCCAGCAGGUUGGAGAAAGAAGAAGAUUUCUGGGGCAUGAGAGAUUUGUUGCUUAGUGGGUUCUUUAAGCUUGGUAAAAGGGUUUCUUGAACAAACUGUUCUUCUUCUUCUUCUUCUUGAUCAUGAUCACUAGCUGCUGCUGCUGCUGCUGAUGGAGUUGAAGCAUGGGUUUUCUUGUAGAUCCGGCAAAGAACCCAAUCAUCAAGCCUCAUUGCAGUGGAGGAUGAAUCUUUAGGCUUGAUUGGCUUGACGUUGUGGGCAGGGGCAUCAGCUAGGCGAUAUUCAUGCAUAAUCCAAUUAGUCUUGAUUCCCUUGGGAGGCCUUCCCCUGUAGAAGACAAGAGCCUUCUUAACACCAAUGUUCUCUUGCACUCCUACACCAGCACCUGCACGUAUUGCUGAUGAUGCCACUAUGACCUUGUCUGUGCCAGUUGCCUUCCAAUACCCUGAAGCUGCUGCUCUGUUAGGCCUAGCUCCAUUGGGAUACUUACGAUCUCUAGGACUGAAAAAGUACCAUUCUUUCUCUCCAAAGGCAGCCAUAGCUGGUAAGUCCCAUGGAUCAAACUUGUAGAUAUCAACAUCUGCAAUGAUGGAAACAGGGAAGGGUGUGGAUGCAAUCUUUUUCUUUAGGUAAUGGAGGAUGAGCUCCUCAUCUGUUGGGUGGAACCUAAAACCUGGCGGCAAGCUUGAUUGUGGGUUCUUCAUGCCCAUAUCUAAAUGACACUCUGAACCCACCUAAUGAAGAUUAGUGAAACGCUUAUUGAAACUGUUCAAUAGGCUCUUAAGAGCUUUAUGAGAUGAAAAGCAAGCGAGAGAGAGAGAGAAAGAG
RNAcentral lists this unclassified non-coding RNA (1282 nucleotides) under Hevea brasiliensis (rubber tree). Lineage: Eukaryota; Viridiplantae; Streptophyta; Magnoliopsida; Malpighiales; Euphorbiaceae. The record is from RNAcentral.